RNAcentral lists this long non-coding RNA (869 nucleotides) under Homo sapiens (human). RNAcentral describes it as "HSALNT0405649". The record is from RNAcentral. Lineage: Eukaryota; Metazoa; Chordata; Mammalia; Primates; Hominidae.
AGAAACAGCUGUGGGCCUGCCGGCCUCUCCCUCCCAAGCAGCUGCCUUCCCGGCCCUUGGCCAUUUGCACUUGGCGUGGGGGACUCCUGAGGAACGAGAGAUGAAAGCGCAGGGUGGCCUUUCUCCGACUUUAAUGUGCACACGAGUCUCCUGGGAUCUUGCUAAUGUGUACGUUCUGAUUCUGCAGGUCGGGGGGUGAGGUCAAGAUUCGGCACUGCUAAUCAGCUUCCAGGUGAGGCCAAGGUCGCGCCAUGUUGUUGAAUGCAGUCCCUUCAUGUUACAGAGAGCAGAGGGGACCACAGCCCGAGCCCCCUGCUGCCUCCCAGAGCGAGGCUCUCCUCAUCGUGGACUCACCGCCCUCUGUGUGCCUCGUCCAUCACAUACAUCCUAAGUGUCCCUCCCAGCCUGUGAGCUUCUAGAAGGCAUUGCAACCCGGCACAGGAGCUGACACUUACAAAUAUUCAGGAACAAGCCAGUAGGUGACUCUCAGAAACACUGCCCAGAUCCCCGAAAUAAAUCUCGGCUCGGGGAGCCCCAGACCCAAACCCUAGAGCAAAGAGCAGGGAGACAUUCGGGGCCGCUCCAGAGUCUCAGUGUCUGUGGUUUCCCAGUUCUGACCUUGAAUCCCCCCAGGAAGGGAUUGCAGAAGGCUGGGAAGAAGGUUGCAGUGGAAGGGGAUUCGGUUCCCAAAUAGGCAGCGGGAGGAGGGACGGAAUCAGGGCGGGCAGAGUCCUCCUUGGUUCUGGCCCCAGUGUCCUGUGUGAUUCUGAGUAGGACCACCUAUCCCCUCCCACUCUGGAGCCAUUCGAGUUGUCCUGUUAUGUCCCUCUGAAUGGUCAACAGGACAUUCCUGGGCAACAGAGACCUUG